AUGUUUGAAUCACUUUGAACUGACUUGAGGAUGAUUUUUAAAAUUCUCAUUCCAGAUCGAGACCAUGUCAGCAUAGAUUUAGCUUCAGAUGAAAUUUAGCAGAUGGUGUUAUGUUUAGGGAUAAAAAAGGACCAACUUGAAGUGGCAAUUGGAGAUGUGGAAUGGAGUUCACCAUACACGGAGAUAUGAAACAAAAGAUUAAGAAAGGAAAAAAUCAUAUUGGUAAUUCGAUCGGGAACCAUGAAAUUGAAAACUGAAUUCUUUGAAAACCCCGGUUUGAUGAAGACACUUUCAGGUAAGAAUUUCAUUUGCCACUGGUUUGAGUCAUAAGUGAGUAUACAUAUAUAUGUGUUACA
This 356-nucleotide long non-coding RNA is filed under the name Bemisia tabaci. RNAcentral's name for it is "lncRNA ENSSWEETPG005038". Lineage: Eukaryota; Metazoa; Arthropoda; Insecta; Hemiptera; Aleyrodidae. The record is from RNAcentral.